RNAcentral lists this ribosomal RNA (253 nucleotides) under uncultured bacterium. Its description in RNAcentral is "partial 16S ribosomal RNA". It matches the Rfam family "Bacterial small subunit ribosomal RNA", at positions 524 to 776 of the family's 1533-position model. The record is from RNAcentral.
GACGUAGGGCGCGAGCGUUAUCCGGAAUGAUUGGGCGUAAAGCGUCCGCAGGUGGCAGUUCAAGUCUGCUGUCAAAGACCGGGGCUUAACUUCGGAAAGGCAGUGGAAACUGAACAGCUAGAGUAUGGUAGGGGCAGAGGGAAUUCCUGGUGUAGCGGUGAAAUGCGUAGAGAUCAGGAAGAACACCGGUGGCGAAAGCGCUCUGCUGGACCUUAACUGACACUGAGGGACGAAAGCUAGGGGAGCGAAUGGG